This 21-nucleotide microRNA is filed under the name Marchantia polymorpha subsp. ruderalis. Lineage: Eukaryota; Viridiplantae; Streptophyta; Marchantiopsida; Marchantiales; Marchantiaceae. The record is from RNAcentral.
ACUGACGAUAUCUGAAAAUAU